AUUGAACGCUGGCGGCAGACCUAACACAUGCAAGUCGAACGGUAACAGGAAGAAGCUUGCUUCUUUGCUGACGAGUGGCGGACGGGUGAGUAAUGUCUGGGAAACUGCCUGAUGGAGGGGGAUAACUACUGGAAACGGUAGCUAAUACCGCAUAACGUCGCAAGACCAAAGAGGGGGACCUUCGGGCCUCUUGCCAUCGGAUGUGCCCAGAUGGGAUUAGCUAGUAGGUGGGGUAACGGCUCACCUAGGCGACGAUCCCUAGCUGGUCUGAGAGGAUGACCAGCCACACUGGAACUGAGACACGGUCCAGACUCCUACGGGAGGCAGCAGUGGGGAAUAUUGCACAAUGGGCGCAAGCCUGAUGCAGCCAUGCCGCGUGUAUGAAGAAGGCCUUCGGGUUGUAAAGUACUUUCAGCGGGGAGGAAGGGAGUAAAGUUAAUACCUUUGCUCAUUAACGUUACCCGCAGAAGAAGCACCGGCUAACUCCGUG
RNAcentral lists this ribosomal RNA (490 nucleotides) under uncultured bacterium. RNAcentral's name for it is "partial 16S ribosomal RNA". It matches the Rfam family "Bacterial small subunit ribosomal RNA", at positions 30 to 507 of the family's 1533-position model. The record is from RNAcentral.